This is a long non-coding RNA of Labeo rohita (rohu), 448 nucleotides long. RefSeq lists it as uncharacterized. NCBI's taxonomy places the organism in Eukaryota, Metazoa, Chordata, Actinopteri, Cypriniformes, Cyprinidae. The transcript has 3 exons. The record is from RefSeq and is a predicted model, not a curated record.
UUAACUUUGUGUUUAGCAGACAGAGUACCCGGAUGUGGUUAGUGCAGCACAGAGCCUCAUCUCUGUGCUAACACAGACUCUUAAUCAGAGUCCUGUAACACCACGUCCACAAGUUCAAGUUCAGGGUCAGGGGCAGCAGACAGCAGUGCAAGAACAAAGACAGACAAAUACCACCAUUGAUCAGGACAUGGCCAGCAUCCCGAACACAUACCAAGCCUGCAAAAGCAUUUAAACCUUAUGAUUUAAAUGUGUAUCUUCUGGAUAAAAAUUCUGAGACCACCCCUUCACCUUCACAUGAACUCAAGCUUGUGCAAGCAGGGCUUGGCAAAAGGACAAUCUCAAUUACAAUGGACAUGACACAUUCAGAGUUUUCCAGCUUACUGUAUGAAGCAUUCCCAAAAAUGGAGGGUUUGAGUGGAGGAUGGAUGCUUUAUAAGGCUACUGGUGA